This is a small nucleolar RNA of Abrus precatorius (Indian licorice), 84 nucleotides long. RefSeq annotates it as small nucleolar RNA SNORD24. The transcript has a single exon. NCBI's taxonomy places the organism in Eukaryota, Viridiplantae, Streptophyta, Magnoliopsida, Fabales, Fabaceae. The record is from RefSeq and is a predicted model, not a curated record.
GGCCUGUGACGCAUGAAAAUUAUUUGCUACUCUUGAUGGUGAGAUCCCAUUUGAUGAUUUUUAUCCGCCAAGAUCUCUGAGGCC